AAAGGGCAGCCAUGGAUGAAGCUUCAUUCGGCCAUGGUGUUUUUGUAUGCAAGUAGGUAUUUUCUACUUGGUUUUUAAUAAUUUUUAUGUUUUCGGAAUCGUUGUUGCUUAAUCUAUCCAAUGAGGGGACUAAUUUGAAAAAAUAUUGAAUAGUUUGAGAUUUUCCAUUGAUGAUAAUGCUAGGGUUUCAAAGUUUUAUGGAAGAAAAUAAAUCCUUGUUGUUAAAUAAACAACUUUUGUUAAAGGAUUUUUAAUGAAAUUGUCAAAUAGGAGCUAAAUUGAUAAAUGUGAAAAUAGUGUGUUAAAUAUGUAAAAUUAUGAAUUGUAUGGGCUGAUAUGAGCAUGUAUGAUUUUCGGCUAGGCUUGGGUGUGAUGAAAUUUCAUGAAUUUUAAUUUUACAAGCCUAGGGACUAAAUUGUAAAAAGGUCAAAAGUAUAGGGGCAAAAUAGUAAAUUUUUCAUAAGAUGAAAUUUGAUUGAAUUGAGUAGAAUAAUGAUUAAAUGAGUUGAAUUUGAUUAUUUAGAUCAAGUUAAGCCUCAUGCGAGUCUAGAUCGAAGGAAAAGCAAAGAUUCAGACUAGUCGAUCAGUUCUGUCGUUUCAACGAUCGAGGUAAGUUCGUAUGCAAUAAGCAUUAUUAUAUUUAUGCUUUUAAUGCUUUGAUAUCAUAUAAAUUGUAUAUACAUGACUAUUGUCAUGUUUAACGACAUACCAGCUAAGAAUGGCACUUAGUGUGCGGUUUGAAAUAGCUUCGGCUAAAUGUGGAACUUGGUGUAUGAUUUGAGAUAGCUUUGGCUAUAUAUAUAUGUGGCACUUAGUGUGCGAAAUAUUAAGAAUGACACUUGGUGUGCCAGAUAUUCAGUGUGGCACUUAGUGUGCGAGACAUCGAAGAUGCAAUGGCAUUACGUGUAUGUGGCACUUAGUGUGCGAAAUAUGUACAGGUAUGUAUGCAAAACUUAUGAGAAAUGAUUUCGGUUUAUUAUGCAUCUUUGUAACGAAGUAAAUAAGUAAGUCAUGCCUAUAAGAAUGAUUUUGUGAUGACCUUGUGAUUAUGGGUCCAUGCUCAUGUUGUAUAAAUAUGUAUUUAUACCAUGGUGGUUGAAUUGAUUUGUAAAGGUGUUAUUAACUUAGUUAUCAUUAUUUACACUAAAACAGUUUUGGAUAGCAGCAGGAGUCCAACUUGAAAAAUUCACCAAAAAUGGUGGAAAUCAAACUAGUGGUUGAAUAAGAUAUGAAAUUAAAGAUUAUUGAGUCGAUUUUCUUAUAGAGAAAUGGUGUAAGUAAAAUAAUUUUAUAUUAUGAGAUAUUUGAAUUUUUGUGAGAUAGAGUCAGAAUAAUUUCGGAAUCCCCUAUUUUGAUUUGGGAAAAUCAUUAAAAAUUGUAAAAAAAUAAUUGUGGGUUAUAAUUUUUAUUAUUAAAAUCCUUAAUGAGUAUAUUUUCAAAAGAAACAAACGAAAACAUCAUCUGAAUUCCUUAUGAGGAGAUAAUAAAUUUUUAGUGAAGAAAGGUCGAAGCUGUCAAGCAGCAGAAUAGGGGUAAGUUUGAAGAAUAAAUUAUUCUUAUUGGCUAAUCCAUAAAUUCUGAAAAUUGUAUAGUAGAAAUAUAAUAGUUUCAAGGAAAAUUAACGGAAAUCUGUAGCUCAAGUUAUAAAUAAUUAAGUGACCAUUAGUCGAUUAGAUAGCUUGACUGAAUUAUGUGCAAUUAUGAUUGUGCUACCUUGAAAACAAGUUGUUAGAAUUUGGCAAAAGCAUGGUUAUAAGUUGCUUAUUAUUUUCAUACGGACUUACUAAGCUAUAUAGCUUACUCACCUUCCUUUCCCAUCUCUUAUAGGUUUAUUCAGCUAGCUCAGGUUGGAGAUUGCCGGAGAUUCAAUCACACUAUCAAGCUACCAUUUGGGGUCUAAGUAUUCAAGCACUUGAGUUUAUGGCAUGUAUAGGGGCUUAGUCAAUUGUGUAUGUGUCAUUUGGUUUGGCCAAAUGUAUUGGCUUAUGAUGAUAUGUUGAUUCAUUUUGUAUAUAUAGCCAUGAUAUGAGGCUUAUAUUGACUAUUUGGGUUGUAAUGUCUAAUUAUAUGUACUUGCAUGUGCCAAAGGUCAUGUGGUGUGAUAAUGUUGUUUAAUACGGAUG
Molecule: long non-coding RNA, 2123 nt
Filed under: Gossypium barbadense (sea-island cotton)
Lineage: Eukaryota; Viridiplantae; Streptophyta; Magnoliopsida; Malvales; Malvaceae
Description: long non-coding RNA (GBAR_LNC012363)
Source: RNAcentral